This 309-nucleotide long non-coding RNA is filed under the name Elaeis guineensis (African oil palm). Its description in RNAcentral is "long non-coding RNA (EGUI_LNC010449)". The record is from RNAcentral. Lineage: Eukaryota; Viridiplantae; Streptophyta; Magnoliopsida; Arecales; Arecaceae.
UGGGGUAAUCCGAGGCUUGACACAAUCGUUUCUACAGCACGUGAGUUCCAACAGAUUAAAGGAAGAUUAAGUAGUCUUACACUCACCUUAAGCUUUAGUUGAUUAGGUACUCCCCCCCUUAGCUGAUCCCAAUGAUUAACUUGUAGUGUGAAACCGUUUCCUAUAAUUCGGCCUCCAGUCAUUAGCUGAUGAACUAUAUCCGUUGAAGGACAGGCCACAAAAAAGGUAUUAGGUUCGGCAAGUCUGUCACGCCCCGAACCCAACAUCCGGAUCGGAUACGUGAUGGCCGCAUACUCCUUAGAGCAAGCC